This 497-nucleotide ribosomal RNA is filed under the name uncultured bacterium. RNAcentral describes it as "partial 16S ribosomal RNA". It matches the Rfam family "Bacterial small subunit ribosomal RNA", at positions 28 to 507 of the family's 1533-position model. The record is from RNAcentral.
GAUGAACGCUGGCGGCGUGCCUAAUACAUGCAAGUCGAGCGAACAGACGAGGAGCUUGCUCCUCUGACGUUAGCGGCGGACGGGUGAGUAACACGUGGAUAACCUACCUAUAAGACUGGGAUAACUUCGGGAAACCGGAGCUAAUACCGGAUAAUAUAUUGAACCGAAGGGUGCAAUAGUGAAAGACGGUGUUGCUGUCACUUAUAGAUGGAUCCGCGCCGCAUUAGCUAGUUGGUAAGGUAACGGCUUACCAAGGCAACGAUGCGUAGCCGACCUGAGAGGGUGAUCGGCGACACUGGAACUGAGACACGGUCCAGACUCCUACGGGAGGCAGCAGUAGGGAAUCUUCCGCAAUGGGCGAAAGCUUGACGGAGCAACGCCGCGUGAGUGAUGAAGGUCUUCGGAUCGUAAAACUCUGUUAUUAGGGAAGAACAAAUGUGUAAGUAACUAUGCACGUCUUGACGGUACCUAAUCAGAAAGCCACGGCUAACUACGUG